RNAcentral lists this unclassified non-coding RNA (389 nucleotides) under Hevea brasiliensis (rubber tree). The record is from RNAcentral. Lineage: Eukaryota; Viridiplantae; Streptophyta; Magnoliopsida; Malpighiales; Euphorbiaceae.
AGCAUAUUCAAUGCAUAACACUGAGAAAGGUGACACGGCCAAAUAUAAGAUAUAUAAGAUAUUUGCCACUCAUUUAUCAUUUCUUGAACCCACAAUUGUGCAGAUGGAGUUAUGACUUGUGAGUUACUGCUGUUGCUGUUUUGUCACGAAAUGCAUCAGAUUUUCAGGGUCAGAAUAAUUUUCAGGGUCAGAAUUGUUAUUCACUGGUCUUUUCAUAUUGAUCUCAAGUGAGCCGUUCAAGUAAUAUCAUUCAAUUAAGAUGCAUAAACAUGUUCAUUCUCUGACCAGGUAUUUUCCAUUGUUUUCCAAUUGUAAUUUGCUGUGAUUUUGUGAGAUAUGAGAGUUGGCAACGGUAAAUGUUCAAACUUGUGAAGCUCCUAGGUGUUUUU